GCUGGGCAUGGUGGCGCGUGCCUGUAGUCCCAGCUCAGGAGGCUGGGGUGGGAGGGUCACUUGAGCCCAGGAGUUCUGGGCUGUAGUGCGCUAUGCUGAUCGGGUGUCCACACUAAGUUUGGCAUCAAUAUGGUGACCUCCCGGUUGUGGGGGACCACCAGGUUGCCUAAGGAGGGGUGAACCAGCCCAGGUCAGAGACAGAGCUGGUCAGAACUCCCAUGCUGAUCAGUAGUUGGAUUGCACCUGUGAAUAGCCACUGCACUCCAGCCUGGGCAAUGUAGCGCGACCCUGUCUCU
This 296-nucleotide signal recognition particle RNA is filed under the name Saimiri boliviensis boliviensis (Bolivian squirrel monkey). Its description in RNAcentral is "Metazoan signal recognition particle RNA (ENSSBOG00000001619.1)". It matches the Rfam family "Metazoan signal recognition particle RNA". Rfam says of the family: The signal recognition particle (SRP) is a universally conserved ribonucleoprotein. It is involved in the co-translational targeting of proteins to membranes. The record is from RNAcentral. Lineage: Eukaryota; Metazoa; Chordata; Mammalia; Primates; Cebidae.